UUUCACGGGUUCAGGCAAGACACUGGUGUUCACGUUGCCCGUCAUCAUGUUCUGCCUGGAACAAGAGAAGAGGUUACCCUUCUCAAAGCGCGAGGGGCCCUAUGGACUCAUCAUCUGCCCCUCGGUAAGAUAGGCUGGCCUGGAGGGCAGGCCAGAGAUUGGGGCUGCCAUCUGGUGCCAGCCUUUGUCCCUCUGCCUGCAGCGGGAGCUGGCCCGGCAGACCCAUGGCAUCCUGGAGUACUACUGCCGCCUGCUGCAGGAGGACAGCUCACCACUCCUGCGCUGCGCCCUCUGCAUUGGGGGCAUGUCCGUGAAAGAGCAGAUGGAGACCAUCCGACACGGUGUACACAUGAUGGUGGCCACCCCGGGGCGCCUCAUGGAUUUGCUGCAGAAGAAGAUGGUCAGCCUAGAUAUCUGUCGCUACCUGGCCCUGGACGAGGCUGACCGCAUGAUCGACAUGGGCUUCGAGGGUGACAUCCGUACCAUCUUCUCCUACUUCAAGGGCCAGCGACAGACCCUGCUCUUCAGUGCCACCAUGCCGAAGAAGAUUCA
This 552-nucleotide small RNA is filed under the name Pan troglodytes (chimpanzee). Its description in RNAcentral is "retained intron". Lineage: Eukaryota; Metazoa; Chordata; Mammalia; Primates; Hominidae. The record is from RNAcentral.